CAAUAGCGUAUAUUUAAGUUGUUGCAGUUAAAAAGCUCGUAGUUGGAUUUCGGGUAGGAUUUGCCGGUCCGUCUUUGAGAUGUGUACUGGUAAGUCCUAUCUUCUCGUCGGGGACCAGCUCCUGGGCUUCACUGUCCGGGACUGGGAGCCGACGAAGUUACUUUGAGUAAAUUAGAGUGUUCAAAGCAAGCCUACGCUCUGAAUAUAUUAGCACGGAAUAACACGAUAGGACUCUGGCUUAUCUUGUUGGUCUGUGAGACCAGAGUAAUGAUUAAGAGGGACAGUCGGGGACAUUCGUAUUUCAUUGUCAGAGGUGAAAUUCUUGGAUUUAUGAAAGACGGACUUCUGCGAAAGCAUUUGUCAAGGAUGUUUUCAUUAA
RNAcentral lists this ribosomal RNA (379 nucleotides) under uncultured eukaryote. Its description in RNAcentral is "partial 18S ribosomal RNA". It matches the Rfam family "Eukaryotic small subunit ribosomal RNA", at positions 592 to 976 of the family's 1831-position model. The record is from RNAcentral.